This 1487-nucleotide long non-coding RNA is filed under the name Homo sapiens (human). RNAcentral describes it as "long intergenic non-protein coding RNA 1471". Lineage: Eukaryota; Metazoa; Chordata; Mammalia; Primates; Hominidae. The record is from RNAcentral.
GGUGGGGGACAGAGUGGGUGGGGAGGGGAGCCGCCAUACAGUGGCCAGGACCAGCUUUGCCCAAGUGGUGGCAACCGCAUGACCACAGGAACGAUGGCGUGAGCCCCGUGGCAACCUGGAGGAAGGGCCAAGCCACUGGUGAAUAUGCUGCAAAAAAUAUGCUGGAACUUCUAUGAAUACCACAGGGUGUGAGAAGAAAACAUUAGAACUUCUAUUUUGUACCUGUGUUACUCCACAACAAGAAAGCAAUCAGCUUGAUCAAUGCCUACUGUAAAGACGGCACCGCCCUCCGGAGGUCCUUUCUCAGCCCUGGUGUUCGGACAGCCACAUCCCCUCGCAGCAGGGGGAGGCCUGAAGCAUAGAGGGGCCCAUGCAGGUCUAUUCUGUUUCAGCGAAUUGCCUGGGAAAUAAUCCAGGAUCCAUUUCGUGUGGUCAUCUUGUCUCCCUGGUCCCCUCCAGCCUUUCCUCAUCUUUUGUGACCUGGUCACUCUGGAAGGGCGCUGGCCAGUUAGUCCACAGGAUGGGCCUCCCCUGGGGCUUUUCUGAUGCUUCCUUAUGAUGGCACUGGCAUCCUGAGGGGGAGGACCACAGAGAGGAGGUGCUCCUCAUCACACCACAUGGGGGUCCAUGCACCAGUGCCACUGCUUUCCAGGGCUCUUCACCUUCAUCACUGGUGGAGGUGGCGUCUGCCAAGAAGCAGAAAGUUGAGGCUUAGAAGGUGCACGGCCCUACCUCUUCCGAGGUGCCCCUGCGGGCUGUCUACAGACCAGGCAGCACAUGCCUGAUAGCAGCUGCAUAAGGAAAAGCAGGAGCCAGCUCGUGCACAGUGGCCUCAAGUGUGCACUGGGCAUGUUCUCUGCCUCACCAUCCCUGUGUGACAGAUGAAGCUUCAAGGACCACAGAGGGCCAAGUGCAGGAGUAAGAGGCUGGCGUGCUGACAGUGGCCAAGGGCAUUGGAGGGAAGGACCUGUCAUCACUGGGCCAAGGAAGGAACUCCAGACUGCCUACUUCCAGAGGGCCUGCUGAGAACCCCAAAGAGCUCUCUCAACAAACACACCCACGAGUUCCAGGAGUGAGGCUGCAGGGAACAGCCUCACUCUCAGAGGGGAUACAGAAUUGUUCCACUGGACAAGGGCUGGGAUCGUCAUAGGAUGCCGUUGGCCUGUGGUUUCCAACAGAGGUGCAGUUCAUUGAACUGUGGUCUACAGUCCAUUCUCUAACUUGGGGACCCUUGAAGAAGUGUGGAAUCAUGACAACAACCCUGUUGGGAGACACUAUUAUUCCCAUCACAUGGAUGAGCACACGGAGGCAAAAGGAAGUUAUAUGAUUGUCUGAGAUCACCCAGUGAAGACUGUGUGGCUGGGAGUUGUCCCCAGUGUUAUCUGCACGCUGCUUCCUUUUGAUGCCUGGCCCUUCUUUAUCAAAAGAAGCAUUGGCAGAAUCUGGGUGUUUAUGGGUCAGCUCAAAAUAAAUUACUUUAUAUGUCA